CCUACGGUGGGCAGCAGUGGGGAAUAUUGGACAAUGGGGGCAACCCUGAUCCAGCCAUGCCGCGUGUGUGAAGAAGGCCCUCGGGUUGUAAAGCACUUUCAGUGAGGAAGAACGCCUGGUGGUUAAUACCCAUCAGGAAAGACAUCACUCACAGAAGAAGCACCGGCUAACUCCGUGCCAGCAGCCGCGGUAAUACGGAGGGUGCGAGCGUUAAUCGGAAUUACUGGGCGUAAAGCGCGCGUAGGUGGCUUGAUAAGCCGGUUGUGAAAGCCCCGGGCUCAACCUGGGAACGGCAUCCGGAACUGUCAAGCUAGAGUGCAGGAGAGGAAGGUAGAAUUCCCGGUGUAGCGGUGAAAUGCGUAGAGAUCGGGAGGAAUACCAGUGGCGAAGGCGGCCUUCUGGACUGACACUGACACUGAGGUGCGAAAGCGUGGGUAGCAAACAGGAUUAGAUACCCUGGUAGUC
This 465-nucleotide ribosomal RNA is filed under the name Vreelandella stevensii. RNAcentral describes it as "partial 16S ribosomal RNA". It matches the Rfam family "Bacterial small subunit ribosomal RNA", at positions 338 to 795 of the family's 1533-position model. The record is from RNAcentral. Lineage: Bacteria; Pseudomonadati; Pseudomonadota; Gammaproteobacteria; Oceanospirillales; Halomonadaceae.